GAUGAACGCUGGCGGCGUGCCUAAUACAUGCAAGUCGAGCGAACGGACGAGAAGCUUGCUUCUCUGAUGUUAGCGGCGGACGGGUGAGUAACACGUGGAUAACCUACCUAUAAGACUGGGAUAACUUCGGGAAACCGGAGCUAAUACCGGAUGAUAUUUUGAACCGCAUGGUUCAAUAGUGAAAGACGGUCUUGCUGUCACUUAUAGAUGGAUCCGCGCUGCAUUAGCUAGUUGGUAAGGUAACGGCUUACCAAGGCAACGAUGCAUAGCCGACCUGAGAGGGUGAUCGGCCACACUGGAACGGAGACACGGUCCAGACUCCUACGGGAGGCAGCAGUAGGGAAUCUUCCGCAAUGGGCGAAAGCCUGACGGAGCAACGCCGCGUGAGUGAUGAAGGUCUUCGGAUCGUAAAACUCUGUUAUUAGGGAAGAACAUAUGUGUAAGUAACUGUGCACAUCUUGACGGUACCUAAUCAGAAAGCCACGGCUAACUACGUG
Molecule: ribosomal RNA, 497 nt
Filed under: uncultured bacterium
Lineage: Bacteria
Description: partial 16S ribosomal RNA
Rfam family: Bacterial small subunit ribosomal RNA
Source: RNAcentral